This 1126-nucleotide long non-coding RNA is filed under the name Ovis aries (sheep). RNAcentral's name for it is "lncRNA (ENSOARG00000026367.1)". Lineage: Eukaryota; Metazoa; Chordata; Mammalia; Artiodactyla; Bovidae. The record is from RNAcentral.
AUGUCUCCCCAUAAUUCUCCAGUUUUAUGUUUUUUUUUCGGGGCCAUUAAGCUCCCAGCCACAAGCUCCUUCCCCUGCCCCCGCCUGCCUUUGUCCUUGAGGCCUGGCCGCCCCACCGCCCUGUGGGAGAAGGGCUGCCCUCCCCCAGCAGGUGGACGGGGGGCUGAGUGCUCACUCUGGACAUCCCCGUCCCAGUCCUGUGGCUUCUCAUCACAGGGCUCGUCCUGCCCGUCCCCAGGGACACAGGACACCAGGGUGCAAGGGAGCCUGGUGAGGCCCAGUCUCCCUCAGACUCUGGCUUCCUUUCCUGAGUGGGCUCUGCUCUUCCCCGUCCUGAGGGCAAAGCCCCCUGCCUCAACCCCCCUCUGCAGCUCCAGAUCCCCAGAUUCAGCGCACCCAUGUCACCCCGAGGACCCCCUCCGUACACACCUCAUCCUCUGCCCCGUCUCCUCAUGGUCCAUCUGUGAGGAGGCCCCUCAGAGUCCUCAGGGCCCCCCUCCUGUCUCCACGACCACAGCCCAGGUCUGGAUCAUGGAGCCCCUGGUUGCCCCAGUUUGGACGCCUGGCUCCCUGAGUGCCUGGGGCAGGCAGCUGCCACUCAAGAGCCGGCUUCCCCCACCGCUGUGAGGGCAGUGCCCCAGGGCCCACGCAAGGCCAGUUCUCCUCAAAGAGGCCAACUCGGGAUGCCAGAAAGCAGAGCCUUCCAGACCCCCUUCUCCUGCCCUCCAGGAGUGACAGAGAGGAAGGGGUGGCCCCCCACCUGCCUGAUGCCCUGUCCACCUCCUGAGGUAGAGCCACUCCUCCUUGGCCCUCUAACUUCCACUUUCCUCUCAGCUGAAUUGCCUUUGCAACCAAAGGCCUCCUGCCCAACCUGCCCCUUCCUUGCACCUGCGGGCACCGAGGCGCCACCCCUCCCCAGGUGGGUGCUUUGGGACGUUUGAGCCUGCAUCCCGAGGCGGGGGAGUCGCAUCCCCGUUGCAGCCCAUCCUCCUCUUCACAGGCGCUCGGCUCGGUUUCAGUUGAUUCUGACCUUGUUCUGCAUCCCCCGGGGUGUCUGGCCACAGCUUGGUAGGUCCCCCCAACCCACCCACCUCCCACCUCCCCCCCCCCACCACAACUUCCUCCC